UACGGAAGGGGCAAGCGUUGUUCGGAAUUAUUGGGCGUAAAGGGCGCGUAGGCGGUCUUGUGUGUCUGCUGUGAAAGCCCACGGCUCAACCGUGGAGGGUCGGUAGAAACUGCAAGACUUGAGGCUGGGAGGGGCUGGUGGAAUUCCCUGUGUAGCGGUGAAAUGCGUAGAUAUAGGGGAGAACACUCGUGGCGAAGGCGGCCAGCUAGACCAGUCCUGACGCUGAGGCGCGACAGCGUGGGGAGCAAACAGG
RNAcentral lists this ribosomal RNA (253 nucleotides) under uncultured bacterium. Its description in RNAcentral is "partial 16S ribosomal RNA". It matches the Rfam family "Bacterial small subunit ribosomal RNA", at positions 524 to 776 of the family's 1533-position model. The record is from RNAcentral.